AGACCUAAAUUUAGGCCUCACUGACUCCUACCUUGGGCAUGUAAGCACCAGUUGGAUCAGAUACACCAGGGAAACUGAGGCCCAGAAAGGGAUGUGAUCUGCCCGAUUGUGCAGAAUUCAGAGCCCAGCUGGAACCUGAAUGUCCUGACCCCCCAUCCAGUGCCCCCCUUCCUACUCUAUGCUGCCUCUCGGGUGACACACACAGCAGCAAGUGAGCCCUGCAGACAGAGACAUUCUAGAACCCAGGCCUGGGACCAGUGCUCAGGAGCCAUACUCUCAGCUAGAUUGCCUUCAGCCUGCCAGGAGGAGGAGCAGCCCAGUCCAGACUGAAAGCCUCCAAGGAGGAAGUUCUACCGGCUUCUCCAUGCCUCCAAACCCACUGUACCUUGUGCAUUCCAUCUGGAAUUUUCUUCUGUUGAAAGGAAGGUGCUGGGUGGGAGGAGGAGGGAGAGGAUCAGGAAAAAUAACUAAUAAAUACUAGGCUUAAUAUCUGA
Molecule: long non-coding RNA, 494 nt
Organism: Homo sapiens (human)
Lineage: Eukaryota; Metazoa; Chordata; Mammalia; Primates; Hominidae
Product: long intergenic non-protein coding RNA 1974
Source: Ensembl